AUAUUAGGAGAUGGUUAGCUUUUUUAGCGAAAAGAAAAGAGAUCAUGUGGCCAUCACAUGGCUCUUAUUAAUUCCUCUUUCUUUCUUUCUAUUGGUUGGAUUUUAUCGAUCUUAGGUGGGUGUAGUAAAAACAUAGAGAGGAGGAGAGAGUGGAAGGAGAGAACCAGCAUCUGCUCGAAGUGCAACUAGGAGGAAAGAAGUGAGAAUCCACAUAUUAUUGUCUCUACUCAAAGUCAAGUUGCUUAUGCUAACAAGUUAUUAU
Molecule: long non-coding RNA, 262 nt
Filed under: Elaeis guineensis (African oil palm)
Lineage: Eukaryota; Viridiplantae; Streptophyta; Magnoliopsida; Arecales; Arecaceae
Description: long non-coding RNA (EGUI_LNC082591)
Source: RNAcentral